AACGCGAAGAACCUUACCCAGACUUGACAUGCACCGGACAGGGCUAGAAAUAGCCUCUUCCUUCGGGACCGGUGCACAGGUGCUGCAUGGCUGUCGUCAGCUCGUGCCGUGAGGUGUUGGGUUAAGUCCCGCAACGAGCGCAACCCUUAUCAUUAGUUGCCAACAUUUCGGAUGGGAACUCUAAUGAGACUGCCUGGGUUAACCAGGAGGAAGGUGAGGAUGACGUCAAGUCCGCAUGGCCCUUAUGUCUGGGGCUACACACGUGCUACAAUGGUCGGUACAGAAGGACGCGAAACCGCGAGGUGAAGCAAAUCCCAAAAGCCGAUCCCAGUUCAGAUUGUAGUCUGCAACUCGACUACAUGAAGAUGGAAUUGCUAGUAAUGGCGUGUCAGCUACAGCGCCGUGAAUACGUUCCCGGGCCUUGUACACACCGUACGUC
RNAcentral lists this ribosomal RNA (439 nucleotides) under uncultured bacterium. RNAcentral's name for it is "bacterial SSU rRNA". It matches the Rfam family "Bacterial small subunit ribosomal RNA", at positions 958 to 1398 of the family's 1533-position model. The record is from RNAcentral.